Hyla sarda is the source of this 1642-nucleotide long non-coding RNA. RefSeq lists it as uncharacterized. NCBI's taxonomy places the organism in Eukaryota, Metazoa, Chordata, Amphibia, Anura, Hylidae. The record is from RefSeq and is a predicted model, not a curated record. The transcript has 3 exons.
GAUUUCAUCAUAUUUUUAAUUGAAUGGCUGCAAAAUACAAACUUACAAACUGCCAAAAUGGCAUAUAUAAAAAUAAUAGAUAUAUAAAUAUACAUAAACCAUUUCUUCAGGCAGAGAUCCAGAGGGUACAUCUUCAUAAAUUAGUGCUACAUUGGGAAAGAAAAGCACAUUUGUGGCAGAUUUAUGCAUAACACGAGAGAACGGAAGCAGCACUGUGCUGUGAAAGACCUAUAUGAGCUGACCUCCUUGUCUCCUUGUUCAUCUUCUCACAUUCUCUCAGCAGAAACACUAUAUAUCUGCAUAUGACUUGUUUCUUUAAGAUAGUUUACAUGAUGGAAGUGGAUAGGUCACAUAUUCUGCAUGUAUUUUUUUACGUAUCAGGUAUUUAUGCCAGUCAGUCUGCAUUAUGAAUAAAUUACAGUUAUAUAUAUAUAUAUAUAUAUAUAUAUAUAUAUAUAUAUAUAUAUACAAAAAAACAGCCAAGUACAUUUGAAAAUGACUGCUACCGCUGAACUGCAAUGUAAUGUGUAUUAAUAAGUACUUACUGUUAUAUCCAGAAGUUAUGCCAUAUGCCAUAGAGACAUAUGAAAAGUUUUGCUUGUCGGGGUCUUAGUGUUUAGACCCUGACCAAUUAGUAGAACUAGCCAUGAGAAGUGAGCAUUCCGGCCCUGUGUCAUUUGACUGAGACUGUCUUAUAAUGUAAGUCUAUGGGACCUUUCCUAUAGACCCUGACUGAUAAAAACUCUUCAAAAGUUUUUAUUUUUAUUUUAUAAUAAUAGCUAUAUUUAAAUUUUAGAGGUUUAACAAAAAAUAUUGCAUUAAUAAUUUGGGAAUUACAGUUUCUUUAUAGUCUGCCCAUUUUCACAGGCUUAAAAGUAAGUAGAAAUAAUCUAAUAUGAAUUAGUUGUCCGGUGUGACAAGUUACUUUCUAAUUCAUUGUAAAUUAAAGGGGUACUCUGGCACUCAGAAUAGACCACCAAUAUCUGAUUGGAUGGAGUCCAAGACCUGGUACCUCCAUUGAUCAGCUGUUCAGCAAAGCCGCUGCACCCAGAUAUACACUGUGAGGAGAACUGGAUACAUAGGAAUUGAAAACUCAGCAACUCACUGGCCAUAAAUAUAGAUGUUACAUCACAGCACUACUCAGGCAAUCACUGUCUGCAGCGGUAUCCCCGUCUUGGCUAUUAAUUUGUGAGUUGCACUGUCAGUUCCCCUGGCUGUAGACGCUAUGCUCUGCGGCUCAGGAGAAAGCAGAGUCACCAGCCACGGACAGGGUGCCCUUAUACUGGAGCUAUGAGGAAGAGGAGGGUGGGUUAAAGUUUUUGUUAUGUUAUUAGCCAGUCAGGGGGCAAUUAAGAAAUAAUUAAUUUCAUCGGAUAACCCCUUAAAGUGGACAUUUCUUCCAUGUUAGGUUGGGGACCAGAAAUUGGAGAUGAGUGGAGACCCAGUGAGCAUUGGAAUAGCAGCAGAAAAGGAAUAGGCAGAUUUGAGGGAAUACCGGCUGCAGUAUCGGGGGUAACCUCUUGACCAGGAUCUGGAGCACUAGAGAUGAUUGGGGAAGGAGGAGCGGAGAAGGGAGCAGAAUGUGUUGAUGGACACAAAGUGUUCAACAAAUAAAUGGAUUAACACCCGGAAUAUAGCACAA